GACAGAGGUCUCAAGCGUUGUUCGGAUUCAUUGGGCGUAAAGGGUGUGUAGGUGGCGCCGUAAGUCGGGUGUGAAAUCUCGGAGCUUAACUCCGAAACUGCAUUCGAUACUGCGGUGCUUGAGGACUGGAGAGGAGACUGGAAUUCAUGGUGUAGCAGUGAAAUGCGUAGAGAUCAUGAGGAAGACCAGUGGCGAAGGCGGGUCUCUGGACAGUUCCUGACACUGAGACACGAAGGCCAGGGGAGCAAACGGG
This 253-nucleotide ribosomal RNA is filed under the name uncultured bacterium. Its description in RNAcentral is "partial 16S ribosomal RNA". It matches the Rfam family "Bacterial small subunit ribosomal RNA", at positions 524 to 776 of the family's 1533-position model. The record is from RNAcentral.